Non-coding RNA from Felis catus (domestic cat), 85 nucleotides. The record is from Rfam. NCBI's taxonomy places the organism in Eukaryota, Metazoa, Chordata, Mammalia, Carnivora, Felidae.
GCCUGGGUGGCUCAGUUGGUUGAGUGUCUGACUUUUGCUCAGGUCAUGACAUCCACGUUCACGGGUUCAAGCCCCACAUCGGGCU